This 301-nucleotide ribosomal RNA is filed under the name uncultured bacterium. RNAcentral describes it as "partial 16S ribosomal RNA". It matches the Rfam family "Bacterial small subunit ribosomal RNA", at positions 509 to 807 of the family's 1533-position model. The record is from RNAcentral.
CAGUCGCCGCGGUAAUACGAAGGGUGCAAGCGUUACUCGGAAUUACUGGGCGUAAAGCGUGCGUAGGUGGUGGUUUAAGUCCGUUGUGAAAGCCCUGGGCUCAACCUGGGAAUUGCAGUGGAUACUGGGUCACUAGAGUGUGGUAGAGGAUAGUGGAAUUUCCGGUGUAGCAGUGAAAUGCGUAGAGAUCGGAAGGAACAUCUGUGGCGAAGGCGACUAUCUGGGCCAACACUGACACUGAGGCACGAAAGCUAGGGGAGCAAACAGGAUUAGAUACCCGAGUAGUCCCUGUCUCUUAUAC